RNAcentral lists this ribosomal RNA (468 nucleotides) under uncultured bacterium. RNAcentral's name for it is "partial 16S ribosomal RNA". It matches the Rfam family "Bacterial small subunit ribosomal RNA", at positions 28 to 507 of the family's 1533-position model. The record is from RNAcentral.
GACGAACGCUGGCGGAGAAAAGAACACAUGCAAGUCGAACGGAAAGGCCCUGCUUUUGUGGGUUGCUCGAGCGGCGAACGGGUGAGUAACACGUGAGUAACCUGCCCUUGUCUUUGGGAUAACUUCACGAAACUGGGGCUAAUACCGGAUAGGAGCUCCUGCUGCAUGUUGGUGGUUGGAAAGUUUCGGCGGUUGGGGAUGGACUCGCGGCUUAUCAGCUUGUUGGGGGGGUAGUGGCUUACCAAGGCUUUGACGGGUAGCCGGCCUGAGAGGGUGGCCGGCGACAUUGGGACUGCGAGACGGACCAGACUGCUACGGGCGGCAGCAGGGGGGAACAUUGCACAAUGGGCGGAAGCCUGAUGCAGCAACGCUGCGUGCGGGAUGACGGCCUACGGGUUGUAAACCGCUGUCGCCGGUGCCGAAGCGUGCGUGACGGUAAUGGGUAAAGAAGCACCGGCUAACUACGUG